UAAAAAACUGACAAGAGUUCUAAUCCCUCUCCAUUAUCCAAAACUAAGAAAAUAAAGUUUUGCCUUUACUGGCACUGAAAGCACCAUAUGAAAUCUUGUGUAUCCAGGUGAAAAACGUUGUAUUAGGAUUAAAGUAAACCUGGCCAGAGAAAAAUGGUAGCUGCCAGAGUUGACCUAAAAGUACCAAUUGCCUGGCUACAUUGUACCACUGCCCUCAUGACCCCGCUAUAUUGCACAGACCAGAAAUUUUAAAGCCCAUAUCUGCAUACUUGUUCCAGGCCUUUCAAUUAGGCUUGGUUCUCAUAUAUAUAUGCAAAUUGGUUGCAUUUUAAACUGCACCCGAUUCGCAUGACAGUAACAUUAAUUUCCAUUGAAACUGUUCACAUAUACGGUGCAUCCACAGUGCGAAUUCUAGGCUUAUUGAGUUCUAUGGGAACACUUCCGAAUCGCACAUGUUCAGGAUUUCCGCACAGAUUGUUCUCCUACAGGAGGUGACACCCUUCAUCUUCUAUGUAUUGGCCAGCACUGAAAAACAGCAGCUGACAAAAAUCCAGUCCUGAGCCGUGCAAAUUCUCAUCAGAACCGCAUCAAAAAAACACUUUAAUUUUUAUUUGCAUUGAAAACCGACAUACAAUUCGCUGAGUGAACCGAUUAAGGAUAAGCACAACAGCCAAGCAGCUAGCAUUUUCAAGACUGGUCAGCACAGGCAGCCUUCACACUUCUCCCAUGAUGCAGAACACACAUUACCAAAGUGUCUGUUUACUGACAAAAUAAAAGUGAAAUAGUUACUUUA
Molecule: long non-coding RNA, 793 nt
Organism: Rana temporaria (common frog)
Lineage: Eukaryota; Metazoa; Chordata; Amphibia; Anura; Ranidae
Exons: 2
Source: RefSeq, a predicted model, not a curated record